UUAUGGGCUAAAUUCAGCCCUCUUAUAUUCCAUGUAACAAUUAUCAUAUAUAUGAGGGACCAGGAUCAUGCUGGCCUUUCCUACCAGCAUCAAUUACCUCCAUUUUAGCUUUUCCCCUGUUGCAGUUGUCCACCAAAUCUGCUUCUGUACUCCUAGGUAAAUCAUCAUUAACCAUUGCUACCUCUGAGUUGACAUCAACAGCAUGAUCA
RNAcentral lists this long non-coding RNA (209 nucleotides) under Nicotiana benthamiana. RNAcentral's name for it is "long non-coding RNA (NBEN_LNC025864)". Lineage: Eukaryota; Viridiplantae; Streptophyta; Magnoliopsida; Solanales; Solanaceae. The record is from RNAcentral.